GGGCUUCAAAUGUGGGCAGUAACAGCGAUACCCUGGAGGGGGCUCAUGGGUUAACUACUUACUGUGAUAUCAUCAGAUCUGCAACCAUACUGUGUGUCUUGUACUUUCAGGUAAAAAGAGAGUUGUAGGACCGUGAACUGAUCCCCAUGCGGUAGUGUGCCGAGUCCUUUGGCAGGUGAGGCUGCUGGACAGAAAUGUUUAACAUAAACACUUUGAGAGGCUAUACUUUAAGAUCCUUGUUCAUAAGGGUCUGUAACUCCCUUAAAGAGUUCCUCAUGAGCCCUUGGGAAGUCGGAUGCAUAUGGGCCAUAUGAAAAGCCUCGAUUGUGGAGGAGGACGGAAGGAGGUCAUAGCGGUGAAGUAGCUUUUUUAAUGUUAGAAAAAAAGAAAGAAAAAAGAGUCUUUUUAGGAUGGAUUAGUCAAGAGGUCACUGGAAACAGUAGAUAGGUAUGGCGUUGCAGGAGCUGUGGCUACAGCGGUUGUUUGUGGGUGGCUAUGAUCCAGGUCUAACUGGCAGGAUUAUAUGACCAUAAAUUGCCAUAAGCCUAACUCACUUUAACCACAUGGAUAGAUGACUUUAAUGUAAAUUUAUACAACUCAGUGCCAGGGUAUCCCAACAAGAGUAGUAGGACAAAACAACUUUGAGAGGGAACCCCAAGCUUACUGGAUCUCUACCACUGUGAACUGUCCCUGGUUAAACAUAAGGAGGUGGACUGACGAGAGAGUUGAACGUUGCUGGUUUCUGUUACAUACUUAAAACAUAAAGUUUAAUAUUACCAAAGUAGUCACUAUUUCUCUCCUUUAAUCAUUGGUGUCUAGCAAAGACAAAAUUUUCCUCCAAACAUCAACCAUUUAAGGAAUGCUCUCAUAGUUGUUCAUGAAUAUUACUGGUGGCCGUCAGGAAAAAGAGUCUGUCAUAAACUCUGCCGCAAAGUCAGUAAAGUUGCAGUUAUGCCUUAUGUGUCGAUUCUACUGCACUUACAAAAGUGCAAAAAAAUGGUCAAAUACUAUUUACAAAAUGUACAAGGCAAAAAAAAGAGAAAAUUCCAACAAGGCAGUAGUUCUACUAUAACUCUAGACUCUCUCUCAAGAGAAAAAUAGAAACACAGCAGCACUACAAAAGUCAGUUUGGCAGUUACCUUCUAUACAACAAACUCCAGUCUCAAAGACGGAAAGGCCCAGGAAGCCCUCUGUUAACACCCCCCAUAGCCCCUCCCAGUGGGCGUUAUUAAUUACAUAAGUUUGAGAGAAAAAAAUCACAUUUAAACACUUUUUUUAAACCAUUUUUAAUCUUCAGACCUUUUUCUGUACAUUUUCGCCAUUAUAACUGAGUUUUUACACAAAUCAAUGGAGCAUUAAUUUGUAGAGAUUCGUGGCGAACAACAAGGGAAUACAUUUUUCUUGCAUCAUGUGACCACUUUGACCCUCCAUACCCACCUAUUUUAAACCCGGAAAUCGCGCGCUCUGUUUCUCAUUUGGAAACCUGAACCGGCAUGAUGGCGUGAAUGGAGGCACGGCAGGUAAGUGAAGGGAUGAAUGUCUGUGUGAAUGUAUGUUAAAGUUAACUGAUAGAGCUCCAAGUGUGCAACCUUGGUUACCCUAUCCAACAGAGAAGGGAGAAGGAAAAGUAGCGCGAUGCCGGGAGGGAAAUGUUUGGUGUGUGAGUAUGUGUGUGUGGCCCGCAGUCAGUGAGGACGCCGCUCCGUCACAUCCGCUAAACGUUGAAAUUGCGGUAAUACUAAUAAUGUUAAACCAUAGACUGUAUAUAGUCUAUGUGUUAAACUAGUGACAAGAUUUCCACACUUAUUGACAAAAAUGGCUCAAGGAAUUGAAAGUUGGCAAGACCGUUUUAGAAAGAGGGGGGAUGAUUUUGACCAUUUUUAUUUCAGGGGGGAUGCCCCCCACCUCCCCGUCAACUCGUGCAGGGGAGAGUUGCUCUGUUGCUUAGAAAUGGAAAAAGAAAUUGAUCAUGUGACCAAAUAUUUAGGAGAUGGUCAUCAAUUCAUGGAGUCUGUGAAGGUUAGAAGCACAUGAGUGAAGGGGUUAGACAUUUAUUUACAAAAGAAACAUUUUCACCCUUGAAAGUGAAUUUAGUCUGUCAUAAGUUUCAUUAGAAUUGUGUUCAGACCAAAAAAAUCAUUUUAAAUUUGUUUUAUACAUCAACUGUGGUAUCUGUGAACUACAACAUGAGGUCAAAAACCUAGCAUCAAAGUCCACCAUUUUAGCUUAGAGGACUAAUAAAGUCAUAAUAGUAGUUCUGCGGUAAGUUGAGCCAGUAGCUCAACUGAGAAAGUAAAGAAGUCUGAUGAGAGGAUCAGAGUUUCAGUUCAGAUUGUUGAAAUGUUUUACUUUUUCUUUUCAAAAAUACAGCUGUGAAUGUUCUGAAUCACUUAAAGACAUUCUCAUGUUAAAAUGACUUUUUACAAAACCGCUUUUUAGCAGUUAUAUGGAGUAAUAUAAAAAGAAUUAUUGUACCAGUUGAAUAGCGUAUAGUAGAUAAAAAUACACAUGAAUGUGAAGAAGUGACUGUUAUUUAGGGAGAGAGAAGGUGAGGGAGGGCUGGGGUGGAGAGUGGGGGGAUAGUAGGGAUACGGCUCAACUUACCCCGCUCCUAUAGUCAACUUACCCCAUACAGGGGACCACUUUCUUUGGCAUGCUAUAUUCCCAAGACAGUUAUGUUUACACUCAUUCUGUUGGUUUGCAGGGAUGCACAACAUCUUGAAAUAUAUGCAGAUAAACUAGUUAGAGACAAAACUAUGAUUGCCUUGAUGGUGAUCCGAAAUAUGAAAAAUGGCUCAUCUUACCCCACUCUCCCCAACUGAUUUCAACUAAGGUCGUUACACAAUCAUGGGAAGUGAGGAAAGUGUCUCUUAUGACAUAGAUACAAGAGGUGAUCAUGCCCAUGCUGCAGCAAUAUGAGUGCAGGCCAGCAGGGGGACUGAAGUCAGGGGGACAUGUUUUCUUCAGCCCAGUACCAGCAAUUGGGUCUAGUGUGAGUACCAGCCAGAAACAAUAGUCUUAGGGUGCAAAGAGUUAGUCAGAUUGUCUUCAAGGAAAUUUGUCAAAUAGAACCUUUCUCACAACAGAGAUUCUCCUCACCCCUCAACUUUGACUAUUCAUCUGGGUACCAUCCAUAUUUCCUUCUGUCAUUUUCCAGCCUUGUUGAUCUGUUUGGUUUGGUCCACUUCGGCCCAGUCCUGUCCGCUGCAGUUUAGCUUAGUUUAAUCCAGUCCUGUCUGGCGGAGAACUGAACAGGUGGUAUGUGACAGCAGGUAAGAGCUGACAUCAAAGGAUUCAGAGAGAGAAAGCACAAGAGAUGCUGAGAGAGAAAAGAGGGGGAAAUAUCUGAGAACAAAAUAAAGAGUUCUGGAGAGAAAGAAAGGUAGAAGUUAGAGAAGGGAAAGAACAGAAAGUUGACUUCGUAACAGUGAAAAUUUAGAGCUGGAGAAAAGGAAAUGUGAAAUUGAAGUGAAAUGGUUGUUGAGGAUUGGGGUGUUAGGGGUGUGACAGAGGGAUUGGUGGUAGUCUGGACCAACAGCUUGUGUGCUUAACUCAGGUGAAUACAAAUUCUUCUGCACUGAUAAACAUCUACUGCAAAAUCUCCCCAAACAAAAUACAUUUCCUUGUAGAGGUAGAGGUGUUUGGUCUCUUUGCUAAAGAAAUCAAGCAAAGCUAAAAAGAUGUUUGGUGGCUAGUGCUGUGGCUGGGACCCUAUAUGUACUGUUGAUGAAGUUAGGUGCUGUUCUGAGCAUUAUUUGUGGCUAUAUAGUGGCUUUUUGGUUGAACGCGUGGCUCCU
Xyrichtys novacula (pearly razorfish) is the source of this 3797-nucleotide non-coding RNA. Lineage: Eukaryota; Metazoa; Chordata; Actinopteri; Labriformes; Labridae. The record is from the annotation of a GenBank genome assembly.